This 247-nucleotide ribosomal RNA is filed under the name uncultured bacterium. Its description in RNAcentral is "partial 16S ribosomal RNA". It matches the Rfam family "Bacterial small subunit ribosomal RNA", at positions 523 to 769 of the family's 1533-position model. The record is from RNAcentral.
AUACGUAGGGGGCAAGCGUUGUCCGGAUUUACUGGGUGUAAAGGGCGCGCAGGCGGGAUAAAUAGUCAGAGGUGAAAUCCUACAGCUUAACUGUAGAACUGCCUUUGAUACUGUUAUUCUUGAGUUCGGGAGAGAGAGACGGAAUUCCAGGUGUAGUGGUGAAAUACGUAGAUAUCUGGAAGAACACCAGUUGCGAAGGCGGUCUCUUGGUCCGAUACUGACGCUGAGGCGCGAAAGCGUGGGGAGC